Long non-coding RNA from Planococcus citri (citrus mealybug), 623 nucleotides. RefSeq lists it as uncharacterized. NCBI's taxonomy places the organism in Eukaryota, Metazoa, Arthropoda, Insecta, Hemiptera, Pseudococcidae. The transcript is spliced from 5 exons. The record is from RefSeq and is a predicted model, not a curated record.
UCCAGCUGUAUGGAGCAGUCAUAACCAGCCCAGCCUAGUUCGCAUUCGCAUUUGUACUCUCCACUUUCGAUGUGACAUUUGCCAUUUCCAUGACAGUUGUGCGGACAUCCGGCUGUAUUGAAGAAGUUCGUGUACAAGAAAAGAACACGGUGAGAAGAAAUACCUUCCACAGAAAGACUACGAUCUAACAGAAUGAUUGAUUAUCAAAUUUCCAUAUGCUAACGAACAAAGGACGUGACAGUUAUUGUUGAAGUUGGUUCUUUCCAUGGUGGUUGAAUAGAAAGUAUUCUUUGUUCACGUGGUUUUUACUUUUCGGCUGAAUGAAUUCGUAUCAGAUGAAAGGAUUACAGAUUGACCCGCAAGUUUCAAGAGUGUUGCUGUGUUGCUUUAACUUCGAAUAUUCAUUUUGAUUGAAAUAGUAUACCUUUAAACAUUCAAACUAUUAUCACUGGUUAUUUCACGUAAGAAAUAGAAUCAAAAUGAUGCAACGCCGACUUCUAUCAAAGGAUUUGUUCUGCGAGGUGAACUUUCGCUCGGUUAAAUUUUCAAUAAUGGUAUCAUGCAGAAUGACUAAAAAAAAGUCUGGGUUUAUUUAAGUAAGUAGGUUGUGUGUUUGCUAACGU